UGUUCUUGGAGGUUGUUAUUAAAAAACAAAAAACUUUCCAUGCCAAGUGUGUUUCCAGUGAUUUUUUGGAAAUUUGUAGGGUUAGUGGAUAUCCUAGCCUUUUCUCCUGACUUUGGUUAUGGAGUUUUGUUUCAUAACGCUUGAAAAAGGGAGUCUUAUUAAUCAUUGUUGGCUUUAUGCGUCUUAGCAGGAAUGUAAUCACAAAAGUGCUUGUUUUCCUUUUAGGAUUAGCCUUAGCAAUGCUUAGGAAAGUUUAUGAAUCCAGAAGUAAGUUUUAAACUUUCGGUUCGGGUGUCGGGUAAUUUUGGUCAUCGGACCAUGGAUGUAAGUUAAUCGUUAAUUUAACUUGCAUGAUCUUUCUCACGGUAAGUCGUUGAGUGUUUAAGUUGAAUUUUAUCAAAAAAAAAGGGAAAAAGAAAAUUUAGAAAUCUUUUUAAGAUCCAUUUUGGUUUGUUCGGCCUAGGUGUCUGGUCGAGUCCUUUCCCCUUAAUGAUUAAUUUAUGUUUAAAAUCUGCUUGUCCCUCCUAUUCCAUCUUUCUUCCUUUCAGUUUUGCUGGUGGAGUUUCACUGAUCUGUUUUUGUAUCUUAGGGUGUUGAUUUUUAGCUUAAUCUUGAUUACUAUAAAAAUUAGGUUCAUCCUUUAACAAUUGAGUAAGAAAUUAGAGUUUUUUGUGGUGUUGGCUACUGAUUGAGACCUAGAUCUCUUUUGAUAAGAGGACCCUUCUAAUGUGUUUUGGGUACUAUAAUGAUUUUAGAAUAAAUAGUUUGGCAAGUUUCUUUUUUUGGGACUUUUCUGUUCAAUCUCCGAUCCCCUGAGAACACUGGUUCAAUGACUCUACUCCGAUCCAAAAUGAUCAAUCUGUUUUAUAUUGGCUACUCCUACUGAAACAACAAAGGGAAUCCAGGUACCUUCAAGGGAGCAGGAACGGGUAGCUGCAGGACUAAUUCAGCAGAAGAAGCGGAAGUUGUAGCUUUGCUACAAACUACACAAUGGGCCAUCACAAACAAACUGCAGAGUCUGUCCAUAGAAGGAGGUAACCAAAAUACUAUCAAGUACUUACAAGGCACACAGAACUCAGUCAAAUGGCAAUGCGUAGCAAGUCUAGAUGAAGUUAAAAGGUUGGUAGAAAAACUAAUUUCUUUUGGGAGAUUUCAUUUUGUGGAUAGAAGAGCUAACAAAGCAGCAGACUUGCUAGCAAAAAAAGCGAGAAAUUCACCUCAACAACUUACUAGUUUUACUGAAGUUCCUUUAUUUUUAAUUCCUACAAUAGCUUUUGACACUGUCAAAGCUCAAAAGAUCUGUAAUAUGAACUCCAAUUAUGUAACUUUUCUUGAAGAAACUAAUCACACAGAUUCAGUCAUCGGACGGACGACUCAAUCAGAGUUGAUUCCAAAUGAGUCUGAAUUUACGGAUUAGUUUUCUUUGCAGUUAUUUUCAAAAAUAAAUAAAAAAAAUUAGGUCUCGUUGAGAAACCACUUUGAGAAUUCAAUUCACGAGCAAAGAGAGCUGCUGUUGCCGUAGUAUCCAGUGAUGGUAACCAAGUUCAAGAUUUGUUGCCGUCAGUUCUAGCCAAGAUCCGAUGGGUGUCUGCCAAGGAUUAAGGCCAAGUUCAGUGACAAAGAACAAGGAGAUGGUUCUAUGUACGAGAGUACAACUGAAUAGGUGAGGUUGCUGCUGUCAGUUGUGGUACGAAUCAUGAGGAUUUGAUGGAGUUCACAGACCAAGAAGGAGACAGAGCUGGUGAUAUGUAAAUGAUGAAUGAUUGAUGGAUUUUGGGUGAAAUUGUGACCGAAAAACAGUUGGCGAAAAGGGGAUUUGAGGCUGCUGUUGCAAUGGGUUUUGGUGGUUAUUCUUGAAGAAUUAGGAGCUCAAGAUGAAGUAAGAAGUUGGGUUGUUCGGUUUGUAGAAGUUCAAGUGGAAUUUAUACUCAAAAGAGCCGAGAGAGAACAACUCUGACUCUUCUCUGUCCGUACAGCUAGGAAGUGAUUUGUGGUAAUUGUAUGGCUGAAUUGAUGGAUGUAUAUGAGUCUGAAUGUGUUAACGACAUGGGUUUGCAUCAGAUUUCAAUUGUGCAGGGAAAUGGAGAGUGUAGAAGAUGAUUAUUUGACUCAUGAAUACAUCACUGGGUUGUGCACACAAGAUGUUCGCUUAAAUGCGUGAACGACUGGUUCUCAUGUGUUAAACAAGAAAACAUGGAGAAACUGAUGCUAUUGCUAAGGAGUUGUUGUUGCAGCCGUGGGUUUGAUGGAUGCAGGUUUGGCAGAAGCCUAGGACUUGAUGGAGAUGACAAGGAAGGAACUGACUUGGUCCUGCUGAUCACAGUGGUUGGCCAUGAUGGUUGAGUUGGAUUUGAGCUAAAAACGGUAGAAUGAGUAUGUUACUGUUAUGGGUCUUGGUGGUGUUUGAGAUUGAGAGCUUGGCAGAGUUUUGCAGCUGAGUUCUGUGAUGGAGUUGUGUCUCUACACAGGAUAAAAAGACACAGGUGCUGGUGGAUCAUAUGCAAAGGGUUUUGAGGCUGAGUUUCCAGUGAGAAAGAAUGGCAAAAAUCCACCAGUUCUGCUCUAGUUAUGUGCAGUACUAGCCAUGGUUCAGUGGUCUUGUAUGAGAGUUGUUUGGCACCAGCAAGGAGAGAGUUCUGAGCUUGUUUUGCAGACGAAAAAUCAGUGAAGUAAGAUGGUUAUGUAGCUGGUUUGCCGCGAGCUUAUAGGCUGUAUAUAAGAGUUUUCUGGCAGCAGUUUGGACUGAGGCCAAGGUUGGCAAGGAAGAAGAGUAUGCUGUUACCAAUGGACAUGACUUUGAUAUUGAGCUGUAUAUAUAAAUGGACAGGCCUGAGUACGAAGGUUGGUUGGCAGUGACUAGGAUCAGACUUAGAAGGCUACAAAAUAUGGAGACUUGGGCGCAAAUUUAUCUUAGUUUUGGAAGGAGUUUAUUGGCCAGAAGUGCUGUCUUGGCCGUGAGUUUUUGGGAGUUGAACGGCUAAGAUAGGAAGCUUGCAGGGGUUUAUGUUCUGUUAGGAUUGCUGGGGCUGUUUAGGUCGCGGAAUUGCAGGGAAAGAAAGCUAUAAAGAGGAGACGCAGAAACAGAGAAAGACCUACCUCUUGAUCACCAGUUUUGUGCUUGCAGAUUGUUCGCAGAAAUUCCUGAGAGAAGAAGCUACAUAGAACCAGUACCUGCUCCUGUUUUCCCAAGCUGCUGAGUACCUCCGCAGUGGUUUGCUUUCGAGUUUUCUCUAGCUUUGAACCUUGUUUACUUUGAAUAUACCUUUGUGCUUAUUCCAAAAACUAUGAGCAGCUAAUUCCAUUAUUGAUUGGGGAGGAUUUCAAAAAUGCAAACAUGUUUUAUUAAUCAAUCUUUGCAAGUUUUUCUUUC
Papaver somniferum (opium poppy) is the source of this 3370-nucleotide long non-coding RNA. RefSeq lists it as uncharacterized. NCBI's taxonomy places the organism in Eukaryota, Viridiplantae, Streptophyta, Magnoliopsida, Ranunculales, Papaveraceae. The record is from RefSeq and is a predicted model, not a curated record. The transcript has 2 exons.